This 253-nucleotide ribosomal RNA is filed under the name uncultured bacterium. Its description in RNAcentral is "partial 16S ribosomal RNA". It matches the Rfam family "Bacterial small subunit ribosomal RNA", at positions 524 to 776 of the family's 1533-position model. The record is from RNAcentral.
UACGGAGGGGGCUAGCGUUGUUCGGAAUUACUGGGCGUAAAGCGCACGUAGGCGGCUAUUCAAGUCAGAGGUGAAAGCCUGGAGCUCAACUCUGGAAUUGCCUUUUAGACUGCAUCGCUUGAAUCAUGGAGAGGUCAGUGGAAUUCCGAGUGUAGAGGUGAAAUUCGUAGAUAUUCGGAAGAACACCAGUGGCGAAGGCGGCUGACUGGACAUGUAUUGACGCUGAGGUGCGAAAGCGUGGGGAGCAAACAGG